AUACGGAGGAUCCGAGCGUUAUCCGGAUUUAUUGGGUUUAAAGGGUGCGCAGGCGGCCAUUUAAGUCAGCGGUUAAAUCGUGGGGCUCAACCCCAUUCUGCCGUUGAUACUGGGUGGCUUGAUUGCGGUCGAGGUUGGCGGAAUUCGUUGUGUAGCGGUGAAAUGCAUAGAUAUGACGAAGAACACCGAUUGCGUAGGCAGCUGACCAGACCGCAAAUGACGCUCAUGCACGAAAGUGCGGGGAUCGAACAGGAUUAGAUACCCUGGUAGUCCGCACAGUAAACGAUGAAUACUUGUUUUCGGCGAUAUAAUGUCGGAGGCAAAGCGAAAGCGAUAAGUAGUCCACCUGGGGAGUACGCCGGCAACGGUGAAACUCAAAUGAAUUGACGGGG
This 392-nucleotide ribosomal RNA is filed under the name uncultured bacterium. RNAcentral describes it as "partial 16S ribosomal RNA". It matches the Rfam family "Bacterial small subunit ribosomal RNA", at positions 523 to 918 of the family's 1533-position model. The record is from RNAcentral.